Austrofundulus limnaeus is the source of this 4565-nucleotide long non-coding RNA. RefSeq lists it as uncharacterized. The record is from RefSeq and is a predicted model, not a curated record. The transcript has 2 exons. NCBI's taxonomy places the organism in Eukaryota, Metazoa, Chordata, Actinopteri, Cyprinodontiformes, Rivulidae.
ACACACACACACACACACACACACACACACAAAAACGCUUACUCCAACAAUUUGUGUGUGUGUGUGUGUGUAUACACACGGACUGAUGUACAGACAAAUGGUGUGAGAGAAUUACCUACAACCCAGUUCAGCCUUGGUUCUUUAAAGCCCAGAAUGUUUUGUAAAGAUGACAGUUGUGUCUGACACGGAGCUGCUCCGUGGCUCAAAGUGUCUCAGAGACUGAGCCGGGUCCAGAGGACCAUGGGUCCACAGGAACCGGGUCUUCUGUCGGACAUGGAGCUUAGCAGGAAGAAUAAAACUGCUUUUAUUUUUGGACCGUUUUAAAGCGGGGUUCAGUGAACAAGUUAGGAAGAAUMAAUAUCCUACCUGUUACAGACGGGUGCUUUGAACGACCUCAGGACUGAUGAGCUAAUGGCUAGUCCAAGGGUCUGCAACCUUUACAAUCAGCUGUUUGAGUCGGUCCGCCGCUGUGAAACAACCGUGUUCGUCACUGAAGUCUAUCGAAGGUGGUCUUUUCUGCUCAGUGGCCGUGACUUUCUAAAACUACACACUUGCAGUGAGUUUUAACAUCUUUACACUCUGGGAGGAAAGAAAACACAAUGUACGUGUAAACAAGAAAAAAUYUAGUUUAUACAAAAUGUAAUAAUUAAAACAUUCACCUAGGCAGACAUUUUAUCUUUAUUUUUUUUCUCAUUUUUACUGUUGUGUUCUUUUCAGAAACUUGUCUUAUUUUCAUAUUAUUGAAGUGGUGAUUGAACUACUAGCAUAAUCUAACAUGAGAUUUAUUUUGUCUAUUUUUUAUAUCCACAACAAUUUUUCUGUUUUGGAUUUAAAAUAAUAAUAAUAAUAAACAGAAUCAAAUCUCAUGUUAGAUUUGGUCAAAGAGCCACAUGUGGUCCCAGAGGUUGCAGACCCCUGGUCUGGUCUAAACACAACCAAAACCAAAGAUUGUUUCAAUCUAAGCUAAGUUAGAUUGGUGAAGAUGAAGAUUUAACCCUUCCAGUGCUGUAAAACCACAGUAAUCUCAAACUUGCAGGAAAGAAAUUAGCUCAUCAGAUCUGUAAGAAGGAAGUAUCUUUGAUUCAAAAUUAGGUCGGGAGAAAUAAUCCUACAAAACUCCGUAUUAAAACAGCUGAAAUGUUCCUUUAAGUGUUUUUGAACGGCCAGCAGACCACAUAGCUUCACAUUUCUUAUUAAGACUUGCUGCUAGUUUUUAAAGAGGUUUAAAUUCGACCUGAACAUAAAAGUAAAUCUAUAASCUGGUCUGGUGUGYUUCUUCAGUUCUGCCACACAGUUUYGACUCUGAGACACUUUGUGGCUCCAGAGGAGCCCCGAGCCUCGAACUGAACAGGAAGUGAUUGUUGCUGUGUGUUUGUGCCACCAGGGGGCACUGUCGCUGUAUCGGUCUCCAAGCUGAAGGUACGGGUCGGACCUGCCGACUGCAUGUAAAAAAUGUAAACAGGAUAUUAAAUUAUUCUUAUUUUUUAUUUAUUUGCUUCUAGUUUCAGCUGCUUGUGGUGAAAACAGAGUUUUGAUUCAAGUCAUUUUAAUCCACUUCAAUUAAAUCUGAUCGAUAUGAAAUUAUAAAGAGAUCAAAUAAAUCUGUGUGACUCCACGUCUAACAGAACACCAGACUACACUGGAUCUGGUGUCCUCAGAUUAAAUCCUGAUCUAAAGCACAGCUUAAAUCUUUUAAACCGAAAUGUUGCUGACCUCUGGAUUAAAAAGAGACACUUUUARCAGUUUUUCUGUUAAAUCCAGUUUAUUGGAGAACAUUUUAUUUACAGGUGAAACCAGAUGUUUACAUGUGAAACCAGAAUCUGACUUUAAACCAGAUUUAUCUGUUUCAGGGUCAGGCAGGAUUCAACUUUAUUUAAUAUAUAAAGUCAGUUUUUCUUUACAACUCUGCAGACUGAUCUGAGUCCUUCCCUUAACUGUGAAAAAUAUAAAACUAAAAUAAAAAAGCUGUGAAGUAUGAAGUUAAAACAUUAGGUUUUUAUUUAACUUGAACUGCUGACCAUUUUUUUAUUUUUUACAUGAUUAAACUUUUUAAAAAUUGUUUUCAAAAACAACAUUUCAAGAAACAAACUGAGCUGUCAACAGAUCAGCAACAACAUAGUUAUUUCUGUGUAACAGGUGGAGAUAAAAUGAUUUUUACUGAAAGCAAAAAUAUUUAGAUUCAUUAAAAUGUAUAAAAUUCUAKUAUAAAAGUAAUGAAAAGGGUGAUUUUUCUGGUUGAGAAGGAGGAAGUGUUUGUCUGAAAACGGCAUAAAGAAAGUUAAUAUAAAACUGUUGGUGUUGUUCUGCUGCAGGAAGCCUGUGAUGUUACAGAAAACUGGAUCAGACGUUUAUUUUUAAUAUUUAUUUAAUGUGAACAGCACUCAGGUUUGGAGCCACAGAUGUCUACAGGAAAACUUUCAAGUCCAGAACUUUGAUCAGAAUCUCACGUGAAACAAACAAAACGUUUGGACUUCAAUUUAAAGCAAUAAACUAAGAGUUUGGAGUCAUUUAAUACAUUUAUACACCUUUUUUAAAUAAAAUAAUCUCAGGAUUCAAUAAAAGUUGAUCCAUUAGUUUAGAUUCUGAUCAUAUAAAUAAAGUGAUUAAUACUCGCUGUUCUCCACCUGUACCAGAGCUCCAGAGAAACAUUUCAGCUGUAACGUGUUUAUAUUUUCACAGAUUUGAAUAGUUCUUACAGCUCCAGCAGGGUUUUCAAACUAAAGCCUGGUCCUUAACAUGACUCAGCAUUCUGAAUCACUUUUUAUUACAUUUAACAUGAAACAGUUUAGGACUUUAAAUCCCAGCCUCUGUUCCAACCUAUGAAUAAUAAAUAUCUUACCUGUUGGCUCUCUGAACGACUUCAGACUGGAGAAAAAAAUCAGACUGAUGAGUUAAUGGCUAGUCUGAAUGGAGUCAGAAUUGUGUGUUUCUGAGCAGCGAGUUGUGUUUUUUUUUAAUCUAAGCUUGUUUUUGUACGGAGGGUUUGCAGAACUGUAUUGUUGGCCCUGCACAUUAUUCUGUUGUCCACCUCCACCCACCUCACACCCAUUUUAUACCCACCAUGGUGCCACGCUCCUGUUGAUUAGAUCCACACAAGCCUACUUUAAAACGAGCAGAGGUCUGAAUGUUGACUUGUAAAAGUUUGUUAUUAACCUGCUGUUCUGAUGUUUCACCUGCUUCAUUUCAAAUGUAUAUUUUCUACCUGCUGGAGCAGAAAAACCUCUCGUCUUCUAUAUUUAUAUUAUUCUCUUGUAAUAAGAAGAAACUUUUUGGACUUUAUAUAAAUUUAUACGUUCCUGCUGUAAAGAAAUUAUUAAAAAACUGACCUCUUUCUGUGCCUGCUCUCUGUUUUGCUUMUGCCUAAUCAGUCAAAUCACCUGUGUGUUCAGAGUGUCUGCAGCCUCCUCAACCUCUGAGUCCUGACCCAGUCCUCCUCUGCACGACUCAAACAUUCAUCAGUCACAGCGAGUGUUUUGAAAGAGAUUUUCAUCCUUAGUUUUAAUCAAAUUCAGAGUGAARCCUUCAGUAGAGCAGAGAUUAUUGAGUUAAGGGGCAGUAAUGAUGCUGAAUGUUAAAGUGAGUGUUGGUUUUAGCUGAUUGGGUCAGGCCCAGCAGCACCUUUUCAGCCCACAGACUUAAAGRUGUCCGUGUUGGAGCCUGAGUAAUGAGGUGGACGUGUGAGGAGGUGAGCAGACACCCUGAAGGAAAUCCUCUGCUCRGUGCUUUAACCUGUGAAAAGCUCCCGUGUGCUCUCCAAACAGCAGGUUUCUCCAUCGUCAGCUCCUGCUGCUGCAGAACCAAGGUCAGAGAAAAGCUUUGGACCGCACCGAGCUGCUAGAUAAAGCUGCUGCUGUCUGCUUCACCUGCUGCAGAUGGAYGCUGCCUGUCUGAAAGUUCUGUCUGUGGCUGGACCAGAAUGCCUAUGUUCCCCCCAGCUCAUCACGGAGGACGAGGGGCUGAGCCGGCUGGCCCAGACCAUCCAAGUUCUUUCAGACCUGGCAGACAAAACCCAGCAGCCCCUCUGCAGGACCGGCUCACCGAGCUAACGCUUCACGGAGCUGUUGGCUGAAGGCUGCCUCUGACAGUGGGAUCUCAGGGCCACACUGUUUUCUUCACAAGCUUCAGCACGAAACUGUUGCUACAUUCCAGAAACUUUAGUAAAAUAAAUAAAUAAAUACCAGAACUACUAAAAUUAAACCAUAAACUGUUCUUUGAGUCUUAUUUCAGGUGUUUUCUGUGACACAAGUCAAAGUUUUCUGGUCACAACAAGGAGUGAAGUGAGUGGAGCAAAAAUACAGAAAAAAGUGUUUUUUAUUUCUGUAAAAAGCCUCAGAUAAAGUCAAAUGUGCCAAAAACAAGUCUCAUUUUUCAUUAUUAAAGAUUUAAAAUAAUACAGUUCUCUGAAUUUAAAAGGAAAAAAAAAAGGAAUAACAUGACUGACCAGGGGAAAACUUCAUUUACAGGUUGUUCAAAGAUUAAACAUUUCCUGAAAUUAAAGUUGUAAAGGUUUGUGUAAUAUGUUUACUGUUCCAGGAUUUUAUAAUAAUUAAAUCUCAUCUGAAAAA